UGCGUAGGCGGACUAAUAAGUCAGUGGUGAAAUCUCUCGGCUCAACCGGGAAACUGCCAUUGAUACUGUUAGUCUUGAGUUCGGUUGAGGUGGGCGGAAUGUGUAAUGUAGCGGUGAAAUGCUUAGAUAUUACACAGAACACCAAUUGCGUAGGCAGCUUACUAGACCGACACUGACGCUGAGGCACGAAAGCGUGGGUAGCGAACAGGAUUAGAUACCCUGGUAGUCC
RNAcentral lists this ribosomal RNA (229 nucleotides) under uncultured bacterium. RNAcentral's name for it is "partial 16S ribosomal RNA". It matches the Rfam family "Bacterial small subunit ribosomal RNA", at positions 568 to 796 of the family's 1533-position model. The record is from RNAcentral.